This 1022-nucleotide ribosomal RNA is filed under the name uncultured bacterium. RNAcentral's name for it is "bacterial SSU rRNA". It matches the Rfam family "Bacterial small subunit ribosomal RNA", at positions 355 to 1375 of the family's 1533-position model. The record is from RNAcentral.
UGAGGAAUAUUGGUCAAUGGGCGAGAGCCUGAACCAGCCAAGUCGCGUGAGGGAAGACGGCCCUACGGGUUGUAAACCUCUUUUGUCAGGGAGCAAGAACAGGCACGUGUGCCUGACUGAGAGUACCUGAAGAAAAAGCAUCGGCUAACUCCGUGCCAGCAGCCGCGGUAAUACGGAGGAUGCGAGCGUUAUCCGGAUUUAUUGGGUUUAAAGGGUGCGUAGGCGGACUGCCAAGUCAGCGGUAAAAUAGCGGGGCUCAACCCCGUCGAGCCGUUGAAACUGGUGGUCUUGAGUGGGCGAGAAGUACGCGGAAUGUGUGGUGUAGCGGUGAAAUGCAUAGAUAUCACGCAGAACUCCGAUUGCGAAGGCAGCGUACCGGCGCCCGACUGACGCUGAAGCACGAAAGCGUGGGUAUCGAACAGGAUUAGAUACCCUGGUAGUCCACGCAGUAAACGAUGAAUGCUAGCUGUCCGGGACGAAUGAGUCCUGGGUGGCACAGCGAAAGCGUUAAGCAUUCCACCUGGGGAGUACGCCGGCAACGGUGAAACUCAAAGGAAUUGACGGGGGCCCGCACAAGCGGAGGAACAUGUGGUUUAAUUCGAUGAUACGCGAGGAACCUUACCCGGGCUCAAACGCACUACGAAUGAUGCUGAAAGGUGUCAGCCAGCAAUGGCGUAGUGCGAGGUGCUGCAUGGUUGUCGUCAGCUCGUGCCGUGAGGUGUCGGCUUAAGUGCCAUAACGAGCGCAACCCCUACCGACAGUUGCUAACUGGUCAAGCAGAGGACUCUGUCGGGACUGCCGGCGCAAGCUGUGAGGAAGGCGGGGAUGACGUCAAAUCAGCACGGCCCUUACGUCCGGGGCGACACACGUGUUACAAUGGCAAGUACAGCGGGAAGCCACCUGGCGACAGGGAGCGGAACCCGAAAACCUGUCUCAGUUCGGAUUGGAGUCUGCAACCCGACUCCAUGAAGCUGGAUUCGCUAGUAAUCGCGCAUCAGCCAUGGCGCGGUGAAUACGUUCCC